This 67-nucleotide transfer RNA is filed under the name Jynx torquilla (Eurasian wryneck). Its description in RNAcentral is "tRNA-Cys". Lineage: Eukaryota; Metazoa; Chordata; Aves; Piciformes; Picidae. The record is from RNAcentral.
AGCCCUGUAGUGAAGUUCAUGUUGAGUUGCAAACUCAUUGAUGUGUACUAAAAGUGCACCAGGGCUU